UUUAUAAAAUCCACAUUUACAAUUAAUCGUUAUUCAAUACACAUUUGAUAUUAACGUAAUCCACCUGAAUCAUUUUAUGAAAAACAUACAAAAUUAGGUUGAAGCUGAGAUACCAUAUAUCAUCCCUAUGUUCUUGAUAUCCUUGAUAAGCUACAUCGUGAGGUCAAUAACUCGAACGAGGACAAACUUCAGAUAAUGAGUACAUACUCAUUUGAAUGUUUUUAUGUUCAGAUUAUUGAUGAGGAAGAAGCUAUGACGCUACCUUUACAUGAUGCAUAUACUUAUUCUCA
RNAcentral lists this long non-coding RNA (290 nucleotides) under Brassica rapa (field mustard). RNAcentral describes it as "long non-coding RNA (BRAP_LNC000182)". The record is from RNAcentral. Lineage: Eukaryota; Viridiplantae; Streptophyta; Magnoliopsida; Brassicales; Brassicaceae.